Leptidea sinapis is the source of this 559-nucleotide long non-coding RNA. RefSeq lists it as uncharacterized. The record is from RefSeq and is a predicted model, not a curated record. The transcript has 3 exons. Lineage: Eukaryota; Metazoa; Arthropoda; Insecta; Lepidoptera; Pieridae.
CUGCCAGUCUGAGGAGCUGAGAAGAUGUUUACUGCACAGCUGGUUGUCUGAUAAUACAUUUUCAUUUGAUUGCACUUAUUCUUUUGGUUUCAUCUGCCAGUCUGAGGAGCUGAGAAGAUGUUUACUGCACAGCUGGUUGUCUGAUAAUACAUUUUCAUUUGAUUGCACUUGUUCUUUUGGUUUCAUCUGCCAGUCUGCGGAGCUGAGAAGAUAUUUACUGCACAGCUGGUUGUCUGAUAAUACAUUUUCAUUUGAUUGCACUUAUUCUUUUGGUUUCAUCUGCCAGUCUGAGGAGCUGAGAAGGUGUUUACUGCACAGCUGGUUGUCUGAUAAUACAUUUUCAUUUGAUUGCACUUGUUCUUUUGGUUUCAUCUGCCAGUCUGAGGAGCUGAGAAGAUGUUUACUGCACAGCUGGUUGUCUGAUAAUACAUUUUCAUUUGAUUGCACUUAUUCUUUUGGUUUCAUCUGCCAGUCUGAGGAGCUGAGAAGAUGUUUACUGCACAGCUGGUUGUCUGAUAAUACAUUUUCAUUUGAUUGCACUUAUUCUUUUGGUUUCAUC